Molecule: long non-coding RNA, 1847 nt
Organism: Austrofundulus limnaeus
Lineage: Eukaryota; Metazoa; Chordata; Actinopteri; Cyprinodontiformes; Rivulidae
Exons: 3
Source: RefSeq, a predicted model, not a curated record
AACAAGAAAAACAUGCAGGAUGGCAGCUUGCAAGAACCAGAAUUGCACACCCCUGCUUAAAGAGGACUUGAGGAGUAAACUCAGACGAGGCAGGUACUGGAGUGGAUUUUGGGACCAUGGGAAUAAGAAAGCGGCAGACAGUAGUGGAGUGAAGCAGGGCUGUAUCCUUGCACCAAUACUCUGGCAUCUUCUUCUCCAUGGUCUUCCAGUAUGCCUUUAAGGAUUGUUGCAAGGGGGUCUACAUCCAUACCAGGGGGGUCUACAUCCAUACCAAGUCAGAUGGCAAACAUCACCGGUCUUUGUGCCAAGACAAAAGUCAUCAAGGUACUCAUCCAUGAGAGGCUCUACGCUGAUGACGCAAACUUGAUGUCACACAGCAUCACACGCAGCAUCUUGUAAGUCACCGCUCCCAUGCCUGCAUGGAGUUUGGAUUGACCAUCGGUCUGAAGAGACAAACAUCAUGACACAGGGCACAGAACUCCCUGCAACCACUGCCACUGACAGAUACAGCCUGGAUGUUGUUGAGCACUUUUACAUACCUUGGGUCUACCAUGUCCAGUUUGCUUUCCAUCAAUGCAGACGUCAACAGCAGAACCGCAAAAGCAUCAGCAGUCAUGGCUAAGCUGAACUCCAGCCUCACUGGAAAGACCAAGAUGUGUCUAAAAGACCUGUGUGCUCAGCAUACUCCUUUACGGCAGCAAGACAUGGACCACCUACACAAGGCACAAAAGUAAACUCAACAGCUUCCACAUGAGGUGUCUGUGCCGCAUUGUCCAUAUUAACAGGCAGGACGAGCUCACUAACACCGAGGUACUGGAAUGCACCAAUAUGAGCAGCCUGGAUGCCAGACUCUGCGAAAGGCACCUACUGUAGCUCGGCCAUGUUAGAAGGAUGGAUGCAGGCCGCAUUCCCAAAAACCUCUGCUAUGGCGAGCUGGCAGAAGGCGCCCGGUUGACAGGCCGUCCAAAACUGCGCGACAAGUAUGUCUGCAAGAAAGACCUGAAACAGUGCAGCAUUGAUGUCUACUCAUGCCAGGCAUACGAUUGCACAGUUUGGCAACGUGCCACCAGACAGGGCAUGAAGAAUGUGGAAGAGGCACGGAUCAAAGCUGCCACCCAAAAGAGAGUCAGGUGGAAGGAAAGGCAACAGCAGCCUCAGCAGCCAACUACAUUCACCUGCACCAGAUGCCACAGAGACUGUCACUCACAAGUUGGUCUGCACAGCCACUCCAGGAAGUGCAGAUGAACUCUACAAGAGCUACACCAUCAUCUUCUGACACGAAAGAUGCCGACAGCAACGACGGUGAAUAUCAUUCUCUCAUCAAAAACAUACCUUUGACGCUUUCAUGCCUGUUGACGAAAUUCUUGAAUCUCCUGUGGUAGCCGUGUGGAGCUGCCUGAACUCUUGCUGGUACAAAGCACCACCUAUUUGCCCAAAGCUCCACCCUGUAGCUCAGUCUACAGGCGAGCUCAUGCCCCACAGAGCACCCCUCCCUCGAAGCAUUGUUUGAAAUUGUGCUAAAGUAGGAAUGUCUGAAAUGGGAGGAAGUUCUCAAAGAGAUAAAGGCCAAUUUCAAGGCAUUAUGAUGCAAAAUCUGUUUGUUUGUUUUUUUUCUUUUUCUUAUAUAUAUAUAGCGCAUCUUUUUUUAACAAAGGAACAUUUACUUGAUUGUGGUAUGAAACUGAACUGGAAAUACAUACUGCCCCCCUUUAAUGGGAUUGGCUCCAAAAGUAAUCAGCUGCUGAGAGUUUUAUUAAAACCUGUCCAAUGAUUCAAGAGAGAUUUUGUUUACAGGAACAUUUGACAUUAAUAGCUGAUUGUAAAGUUUUAAAAUCCAAUCUUAUGUG